Molecule: long non-coding RNA, 1835 nt
Organism: Papaver somniferum (opium poppy)
Lineage: Eukaryota; Viridiplantae; Streptophyta; Magnoliopsida; Ranunculales; Papaveraceae
Exons: 2
Source: RefSeq, a predicted model, not a curated record
AAUCACUCGAGGACUAACCCCCUGUUAUUCUUCUUUAUUCUUUUCUUUUCUUUUCUUCUUAUCUUUAUCUUUAUCUUUCUUCUUCUUCUUCUUCUCUGCUCUUCCUCUGUAAGUGGAGAGUGAUGAAAUUGAGAGCGGGUUAGAGAGAUUUUGGUUCAUGAAACUGUUCGUAAGGUGACGGAGGUGAUGUCGAUGUGAUUCGGGAAGGGGAAGAUUAUUGAUUGUUAGGGUUUUGGCGUGAAUCAGGGGAAGAGGAAUUAGGGUUCUGAGUUUAGGUUUGGGUGCAAAUGACGGUGAUAUGGAGUUGAUAAAGAUGAAAGAUUAAUAGGGUUAUGGUUAAUCGAAGUUGUAGAGUUGUUUUGUGGAUUGAAUAAAGAGCUAGCUAGGCUUUCUGGAAGAAUUCCAAGAAAAAUUCAAAUAUGAAUUUGAUACUCUAGAGGUUUAAUUGGAGGUGGGUUUAACUCGAAUUAUGAGUUAAGGUUGAAGAAUAGCUUGGAAACAGUAGUUAGGGUUUGAAUCUGUGUUAGUGAAGGUAGGAGCAGAAUUGUAAGUUGUAGUUGUGAUGAUGUAGUUGCAGGGAGUAUGGAUGACUGGUGGGUGGUCGCAAAUCGAGUAACAAGAGGAGUUGUUCUCAAUUGCAGGAAUGAACUUAUAAUGGGGAACAGUGUGGAAUGGUUAUGUGGCUGUAACUUGGUCUUUGAUGUGAAUUGCAUAAAGAGAAAAGAGGGCGUUGCUACUAUUAGAAGAAUUUGGGUAUGGUUUUGAAACUGAUUGUAUUCAGGAAGUCGAGGUUUGAGGAAUUCGAUCACAAAUGCUUGAGUUGAAUUGUCUUUGAGGUAAUUGUUUUAUGAGUAUUAAUUUGUUCAAGUUUUUUAUUGAAUUUAUGAGUUUCUUAAUGAAUUAAGAAUUUACAUGGAAUUGUUGGUGGUUGUGGAUGUGAGUUGUAUGAGAUGUAUGUAUAUUUGAAAAGGAAGUUGAUUAAGAAGAUUAUGAUGUUUGAUGAAGGGGACUGUAAUUGAAGUAAGAUUCUGUGGUUGUUGAUAAUUCUAUGGUGAAUUGAUGAAAUUGUGUUGAAUGACAGUGAAGGAGGUAAUGAGAAUUGAUAGUGGUCAUACGUGCUGGGAAGAACUGGGGUUUUUUUUUAUUGCAGCUGGUGAUGGUGGCUAUAGAUGAAUGCUUAGGGCUUUGCAGAAUUUGUUUAGCUCAAAUGGUUGCAGUAAAUGAGCCUGGUGAUAAUGUAUCUAAAGAACUAGAAUUGCAGGUGGUAUGCAGUGGCAGAUGAGAUGGAGGUGGAGUUAACAUUUUGGUGGAGUUGGAUAAUAGAGUCUCAAGUAAAUGGGUUUGCUGGUGGACUGGAGUUGUGUAAUUGAAACUGUAAGUUAUUAUGCAGGUGGUAGUAAUUAGGGAAGAUGUGGUUGAUAUAGUGAUGGUGCUGAUGUGUUUUGUUUGAUUGUGCAAUCCAGGGAAGAGCUCAUAGUGGUUCUAGGAUUGAUUGUGUUGAGUUAAGAUUGAACAGAAUGGUAAUGGUGGUAAGUUAGUAUAGUACUGUUGGGAUGGAUUGUGUAUGAAUGAACUGUGGAUGUUUAUUGUAAAGAGCUGGAACUGGAUAUGGUGUUGUCUGUGAUGAAUGAUUAACUGCAAGUGGCCAUAUGAAGUAGAUUUGUAGUUGUAGAUAAAUGUAAUGAGUUGCAAGUAGUGGUGGUAUUGAAUUUUAGUUGUAAUUGAUCUGAAACUGGUGGUGAUUCAGUUUAGUGGAAUGUGUUGCUAAAAGCUACAAUUACAGCUAAUAAGAGUUCCUAUUUGUAAAUGAAAUUCAAUGUUGUUUACCAUUUGAA